This 644-nucleotide ribosomal RNA is filed under the name Salmonella enterica subsp. enterica serovar Typhi. Its description in RNAcentral is "partial 23S ribosomal RNA". It matches the Rfam family "Bacterial large subunit ribosomal RNA", at positions 1 to 669 of the family's 2925-position model. The record is from RNAcentral. Lineage: Bacteria; Pseudomonadati; Pseudomonadota; Gammaproteobacteria; Enterobacterales; Enterobacteriaceae.
GGUUAAGCGACUAAGCGUACACGGUGGAUGCCCUGGCAGUCAGAGGCGAUGAAGGGCGUGCUAAUCUGCGAUAAGCGCCGGUAAGGUGAUAUGAACCGUUAUAACCGGCGAUACCCGAAUGGGGAAACCCAGUGUGAUUCGUCACACUAUCAUUAACUGAAUCCAUAGGUUAAUGAGGCGAACCGGGGGAACUGAAACAUCUAAGUACCCCGAGGAAAAGAAAUCAACCGAGAUUCCCCCAGUAGCGGCGAGCGAACGGGGAGGAGCCCAGAGCCUGAAUCAGCAUGUGUGUUAGUGGAAGCGUCUGGAAAGGCGCGCGAUACAGGGUGACAGCCCCGUACACAAAAGCGCAUAUGCUGUGAGCUCGAUGAGUAGGGCGGGACACGUGGUAUCCUGUCUGAAUAUGGGGGGACCAUCCUCCAAGGCUAAAUACUCCUGACUGACCGAUAGUGAACCAGUACCGUGAGGGAAAGGCGAAAAGAACCCCGGCGAGGGGAGUGAAAAAGAACCUGAAACCGUGUACGUACAAGCAGUGGGAGCCCCACCACUAAGCCAGUGGUGAACUCCACAUACGCAUCCUUUGCUGAGGAGACGGUUAACGGAGCGAAAGCGACGUUCAACCUCAAAAGAAGCAGAGGGGGCUU